Molecule: ribosomal RNA, 242 nt
Filed under: uncultured bacterium
Lineage: Bacteria
Description: partial 16S ribosomal RNA
Rfam family: Bacterial small subunit ribosomal RNA
Source: RNAcentral
UACGUAGGGUGCAAGCGUUAAUCGGAAUUACUGGGCGUAAAGCGUGCGCAGGCGGUUUUGUAAGUCUGUCGUGAAAUCCCCGGGCUCAACCUGGGAAUUGCGAUGGAGACUGCAAGGCUAGAAUCUGGCAGAGGGGGUAGAAUUCCACGUGUAGCAGUGAAAUGCGUAGAGAUGUGGAGGAACACCGAUGGCGAAGGCAGCCCCUGGGUCAAGAUUGACGCUCCAUGCACGAAAGCGUGGAG